GGGAAUUGCUAAAACCAACCCAAAAAUUGAUUGCAACCCUAAAAGUAGACCCCAUAUUCAAUCAAUUGCAAACCUAACCUAAAGGGAUGUUAAAACUACUAUUUAGCUCUUGUGACCAAACAAAAAAAACAUAAAAUCAUUUUACUGUUCUGUCCUUCGUAAGUCUACACAUAACAAACAUAGUCUACAUAUCCGUAGACGUCAUACACAGUCUACAUUAUCGACUUAAUUUGUAGUCUACAUUGUAAUUUAAUCUAGUUAAUUAUGUUUAAAAAUAUAUAAAAUUAAUUUUUAUGAAAUUAUUAAUUAAUCAUCAAUGUAAACGUUAAUAUAGAGUUUAUAAACUAAAUUUGUAUAUAAGUGAACAACUAAAAAGAAUAUAUGUUGAUUUGGUAACCAUGUGAGAUAAUGUUUAUGGUUUAGUAAUAAAAUGUCACAUAACAUGAUGUAUCUUUAAAGGUUAGAUUUCUAGGGUUAGAUUUAGAUUGAAUUUUUUUGUUUGUUUAAAUUAACAUAUUAUUACUGAGUAGUUUAUAUUUUGUAAAUUUGAUAUUUGAUACAAUAAUUUCCUAUCAAACUAACAUUUAGGGUUUGAAUUUCGUGGUUUAGGGUUUGAGUUUUGUGGUUUAGGGUUUUGUAGACUUACGAUUCAGUCUACACGAACCAAACUUUAUUGGGGUAGACAGAAAAAGAAGUCUACUCUCAACGAUUUUAACCUAACCGGAGUUAACCAAAUUUAUUUCAAACCAAACAUUUUUUAAUCUAACCUAAAAAUUAACCAAAAUAGAUUUAACCUAACCAACGACAUAUAAAUACAUGUGAACAUUGGUAAAAAAAAAAAUAAGCGGCGCAAUGACAAAAAAAAAGAAAGAAAAAAACCCUAAGCGCCGUUGCUCUUUUUCUCUCUCGGAGGUGGAGGACUAGAGGAUUUCCAUCGAUUUCUUCACGCCGUUUCUGAUGCUUUUGGUGAUUUCUUGAAGCCGAUUAUUUCUACACUCGUCUUCUUUGUAGUCUCUUUCGUCAUUUGUCUUUUUUGUUAACCUUUUGAAUUUUUUUUUGUUUUCUUUCAGAUCUGAGCCGCACCGUUGCCUAUGUUCUCGUCCAUCUCUAUGCUUACGCUCGACCUCAUGGCGAAGGUAAAGUAGUCCUUGACUUCUUUCGUUUUGAUAACCUAACUGGUAGACUUAUCUCUGUUCUGUCUCUGACCUCCCCCAUUUUGUUGGUUUCGAAGGCUGACAGGUAAACAGAGAUCUGAGCCGGCCAAGGAACGGUGCAUCUUCACGUUCAACUUUCUGCUUCUGGUGACUCUCACGGCAAAGGUGAAGUAGUGGUUGACUUCCGUUUUAAUAACCUAACUAGUAGACUUCUAAGUUUAUCUAUAGACUUGUCGUGUAAAUGAAGACUUUUUUGAAUUAUAGACUUCUCUACCAGUUUAUGAUCCUUCUUGGUAUAUAAAGUAACCACCUUUACUUCUUUUUGUUUUAGAUCUUAGACCGGGACUUCUUCUCACGACUUGUUCUCACGUUAGUGGUGUUGUGGCGUUUCAUAUCUCCGGCGAACUAAAGUUGAACUCUGGAGACUCGGUGAUGAUAGAAGGCAGUUCCUUCUUGAUGCCCCAGAAACAUGUUGCCUCACUCGCUAUGAGCUUUGCAUAGUAGGGAUGGGAAGACUUGACAUCUACAUUAUAAUGAGACUCGCCAGCUGUGAUAUGGUGAGCUGGUCUAGUGAGAGGUGUUUAUGUGGUUCUUGUCUAAUGAUACACAAAAUUUCUGAAAGUAGUUGUUGUUUGUUUGUAGUAUUGUUACAUGUAUUUACUUCUGAGUUUCAGUUUACCAUACUUGUUGUAACAAACAUAUGUAAUUUGCUUGCAUCAACCUUCACUAUAAGUCCAAGACAUCAUGUUUUGUUGAAA
Raphanus sativus (radish) is the source of this 1912-nucleotide long non-coding RNA. RefSeq lists it as uncharacterized. Lineage: Eukaryota; Viridiplantae; Streptophyta; Magnoliopsida; Brassicales; Brassicaceae. The record is from RefSeq and is a predicted model, not a curated record. The transcript has 2 exons.